GGAAGGGUGGCUGAGUGGUUUAAAGCAACGGGUUGCUAACCCGUGGGGCCUAAACAGUCCUUCGUGAGUUCGAAUCUCACCCCUUCCGCUA
This 91-nucleotide transfer RNA is filed under the name Parcubacteria group bacterium CG_4_9_14_0_2_um_filter_35_11. RNAcentral's name for it is "tRNA-Ser". It matches the Rfam family "tRNA". From Rfam's summary of the family: Transfer RNA (tRNA) molecules are approximately 80 nucleotides in length. Their secondary structure includes four short double-helical elements and three loops (D, anti-codon, and T loops). The record is from RNAcentral.